RNAcentral lists this ribosomal RNA (803 nucleotides) under uncultured bacterium. Its description in RNAcentral is "bacterial SSU rRNA". It matches the Rfam family "Bacterial small subunit ribosomal RNA", at positions 10 to 810 of the family's 1533-position model. The record is from RNAcentral.
AGUUUGAUCCUGGCUCAGGAUGAACGCUGGCGGCGUGCCUAAUACAUGCAAGUCGAACGCACCGCUUCGGUGGUGAGUGGCGAACGGGUGAGUAAUACAUAAGUAGCCUGGCCUUUCGAGGGGGAUAACUAUUGGAAACGAUAGCUAAGACCGCAUAGGCAUAAUUCUCGCAUGAGAGUUAUGUUAAAUAUCCCAAGGGAUAGCGAGAGGAUGGACUUAUGGCGCAUUAGCUAGUUGGUGAGGGUAACGGCCCACCAAGGCGACGAUGCGUAGCCGACCUGAGAGGGUGGACGGCCACACUGGGACUGAGACACGGCCCAGACUCCUACGGGAGGCAGCAGUAGGGAAUUUUCGGCAAUGGGCGAAAGCCUGACCGAGCAACGCCGCGUGAGGGAGGAAGUAUUUCGGUAUGUAAACCUCUGUUAUAAAGGAAGAACGGCGCAUGUAGGGAAUGACAUGCGAGUGACGGUACUUUAUGAGAAAGCCACGGCUAACUACGUGCCAGCAGCCGCGGUAAUACGUAGGUGGCGAGCGUUAUCCGGAAUUAUUGGGCGUAAAGAGGGAGCAGGCGGCGGCAGAGGUCUGUGGUGAAAGACUGAAGCUUAACUUCAGUAAGCCAUAGAAACCGGGCUGCUAGAGUGCAGGAGAGGAUCGUGGAAUUCCAUGUGUAGCGGUGAAAUGCGUAGAUAUAUGGAGGAACACCAGUGGCGAAGGCGACGGUCUGGCCUGUAACUGACGCUCAUUCCCGAAAGCGUGGGGAGCAAAUAGGAUUAGAUACCCUAGUAGUCCACGCCGUAAACGAU